GUGAGUAACGCGUGAGAAUCUGGCUUCAGGUCGGGGACAACAGUUGGAAACGACUGCUAAUACCGGAUGUGCCGAGAGGUGAAAGAUUAAUUGCCUGAAGAUGAGCUCGCGUCUGAUUAGCUAGUUGGUAGUGUAAGGGACUACCAAGGCGACGAUCAGUAGCUGGUCUGAGAGGAUGAUCAGCCACACUGGGACUGAGACACGGCCCAGACUCCUACGGGAGGCAGCAGUGGGGAAUUUUCCGCAAUGGGCGAAAGCCUGACGGAGCAAUACCGCGUGAGGGAGGAAGGCUCUUGGGUCGUAAACCUCUUUUCUCAAGGAAGAAGUUCUGACGGUACUUGAGGAAUAAGCAUCGGCUAACUCCGUGCCAGCAGCCGCGGUAAUACGGAGGAUGCAAGCGUUAUCCGGAAUGAUUGGGCGUAAAGGGUCCGCAGGUGGAACUGAAAGUCUGCUGUUAAAGAAUCUGGCUCAACCAGAUAAAAGCAGUGGAAACUACAGAACUAGAGUAUGGUAGGGGUAGAAGGAAUUCCUAGUGUAGCGGUGAAAUGCGUAGAUAUUAGGAAGAACACCGGUGGCGAAAGCGUUCUACUAGACCAAGACUGACACUGAGGGACGAAAGCUAGGGGAGCGAAUGGGAUUAGAUACCCCAGUAGUCCUAGCCGUAAACGAUGGAUACUAGGCGUGGCUUGUAUCGACCCGAGCCGUGCCGGAGCCAACGCGUUAAGUAUCCCGCCUGGGGAGUACGCACGCAAGUGUGAAACUCAAAGGAAUUGACGGGGGCCCGCACAAGCGGUGGAGUAUGUGGUUUAAUUCGAUGCAACGCGAAGAACCUUACCAAGGCUUGACAUCCUGCGAAUCCCGGUGAAAGCUGGGAGUGCCUUAGGGAGCGCAGAGACAGGUGGUGCAUGGCUGUCGUCAGCUCGUGUCGUGAGAUGUUGGGUUAAGUCCCGCAACGAGCGCAACCCUCGUUUUUAGUUGCCAUCAUUAAGUUGGGCACUCUAGAGAGACUGCCGGUGACAAACCGGAGGAAGGUGAGGAUGACGUCAAGUCAGCAUGCCCCUUACGCCUUGGGCUACACACGUACUACAAUGCUACGGACAAAGGGCAGCUACACAGCGAUGUGAUGCAAAUCUCGGAAACCGUAGCUCAGUUCAGAUCGAAGGCUGCAACUCGCCUUCGUGAAGGAGGAAUCGCUAGUAAUUGCAGGUCAGCAUACUGCAGUGAAUUCGUUCCCGGGCCUUGUACACACCGCCCGUCACACCAUGGAAGUUGGUCACGCCC
RNAcentral lists this ribosomal RNA (1281 nucleotides) under Wollea sp. PMC 1138.19. RNAcentral describes it as "bacterial SSU rRNA". It matches the Rfam family "Bacterial small subunit ribosomal RNA", at positions 106 to 1422 of the family's 1533-position model. Lineage: Bacteria; Bacillati; Cyanobacteriota; Cyanophyceae; Nostocales; Nostocaceae. RNAcentral also lists the same sequence under 1 other name. The record is from RNAcentral.